CAGGAGCGACAGCACAUCGCAGCUCUCGGAAGGCAAAUCCCCUUUCACAACGGCAGCUUCAGCAGCCUCUUUUUUUUUUUUUUUCCCUUUCUUUUUUUUUUUUUUUUUUUUUUUUUUUUUUCAGGGGAAAAAAAAAAAAAAAGUCCGCAACACUUUGAAAAUGUCAAAUUCCUGCGGCAGCCCAGAAGAGCCGGGGAAGCAGCGAGGCAGAGAUGGCAAGAUAAGGAGGGAGGAUGUGGAUGAUUCCCAGCCUGAGGGAAAGAGGUUGAAGCUGGGGAAUGAAGGAGGAACCGGUGGAAAGGACAGAGAAGCAGCAGCAGAAGAUGCAAUAAUGCCUUGUUCAGGCAGAGAAGAGCCCGUGCCCGGAGGAGGUGGUGAAGGCAAAAGUGACUAUAAAUCUGAUGUUAUGACUCUGGUUUCCAGUGCCAAGAACAGCCCUCAAGGUCCAAAGGUGAACACAUCAAGAGCGGCGUGUGUGACUGACAGCAUCGCUCCUCCGAGCUCCUGGCCGUGCAGAAAUGGAGCAGUGCCCAGGAGCUGGGCUGAAAGCAAAUGUCAGCAUCCACAGAUGUGAGAUGAGCCUUCCAGCUGUUCCUGUGUGCUCAGUAUCACAAAACAGCAAAUGCAACGGCUUU
This 635-nucleotide long non-coding RNA is filed under the name Parus major (Great Tit). Its description in RNAcentral is "lncRNA (ENSPMJG00000010293.1)". Lineage: Eukaryota; Metazoa; Chordata; Aves; Passeriformes; Paridae. The record is from RNAcentral.